RNAcentral lists this ribosomal RNA (497 nucleotides) under uncultured bacterium. RNAcentral's name for it is "partial 16S ribosomal RNA". It matches the Rfam family "Bacterial small subunit ribosomal RNA", at positions 28 to 507 of the family's 1533-position model. The record is from RNAcentral.
GAUGAACGCUGGCGGCGUGCCUAAUACAUGCAAGUCGAGCGAACAGACGAGGAGCUUGCUUCUCUGACGUUAGCGGCGGACGGGUGAGUAACACGUGGAUAACCUACCUAUAAGACUGGGAUAACUUCGGGAAACCGGAGCUAAUACCGGAUAAUAUAUUGAACCGCAUGGUUCAAUAGUGAAAGACGGUUUUGCUGUCACUUAUAGAUGGAUCCGCGCCGCAUUAGCUAGUUGGUAAGGUAACGGCUUACCAAGGCAACGAUGCGUAGCCGACCUGAGAGGGUGAUCGGCCACACUGGAACUGAGACACGGUCCAGACUCCUACGGGAGGCAGCAGUAGGGAAUCUUCCGCAAUGGGCGAAAGCCUGACGGAGCAACGCCGCGUGAGUGAUGAAGGUCUUCGGAUCGUAAAACUCUGUUAUUAGGGAAGAACAAAUGUAUAAGUAACUAUGCACGUCUUGACGGUACCUAAUCAGAAAGCCACGGCUAACUACGUG